RNAcentral lists this ribosomal RNA (534 nucleotides) under Salmonella enterica subsp. enterica serovar Bareilly. RNAcentral describes it as "partial 23S ribosomal RNA". It matches the Rfam family "Bacterial large subunit ribosomal RNA", at positions 711 to 1242 of the family's 2925-position model. The record is from RNAcentral. Lineage: Bacteria; Pseudomonadati; Pseudomonadota; Gammaproteobacteria; Enterobacterales; Enterobacteriaceae.
AGACCCGAAACCCGGUGAUCUAGCCAUGGGCAGGUUGAAGGUUGGGUAACACUAACUGGAGGACCGAACCGACUAAUGUUGAAAAAUUAGCGGAUGACCUGUGGCUGGGGGUGAAAGGCCAAUCAAACCGGGAGAUAGCUGGUUCUCCCCGAAAGCUAUUUAGGUAGCGCCUCGUGAAUUCAUCUCCGGGGGUAGAGCACUGUUUCGGCUAGGGGGCCAUCCCGGCUUACCAACCCGAUGCAAACUGCGAAUACCGGAGAAUGUUAUCACGGGAGACACACGGCGGGUGCUAACGUCCGUCGUGAAGAGGGAAACAACCCAGACCGCCAGCUAAGGUCCCAAAGUCAUGGUUAAGUGGGAAACGAUGUGGGAAGGCCCAGACAGCCAGGAUGUUGGCUUAGAAGCAGCCAUCAUUUAAAGAAAGCGUAAUAGCUCACUGGUCGAGUCGGCCUGCGCGGAAGAUGUAACGGGGCUAAACCAUGCACCGAAGCUGCGGCAGCGACGUUUAUGCGUUGUUGGGUAGGGGAGCGUUCU